UAUAAAUAUAGCCCCAAAAAAAAUUAUACCAAGUCCAUCAGUGAUCGACUUGAGCAGACUAGAUCUCGACACUCAGUCACCAUCUGAGAAGUGAGAAUCACUUCCGCAGCCACCGCGACUCCCUCAGUCCCUCACCAUGAUUCCCUCUGUCCCUCAUCGCAACAACAUGGCUACUCUCUGAGGCUCAAACUCUCAGUCUCGCCGCGACUCCAUGGCUCCACGCGGCCACGCCUCCUGUUUCUUGAGCUCAAGAUGGUGGUAGUGUUGGCGAGGAUGAGCCUCCUACUGAAUUCCAAACCUCAAAAUAUAUAUAUAUAUAAAUUAUCAAAAUUUGUAUAUAGCUAAAAUUAGCCCAACCCGUUAGCAAAUCAUGGCUACGUCCGUGCUAUGCAUGGUAGUUUGGGUGAUGGAGUCACAGUCAAUUACGUUGGGUGGCUUCGUACAUGCAAGCGAACUAGCUCAAUCUCGGGCCUUCCUAUGUUAGAUCACUACCACAAAUUUGUUUGAGGUUUUACUAGAUGGUGUUCUUGUUGUAUGUGCUUUUUUGACAUCAUUCGUCCCAAGUCAUUGUGAAUUGCUAGUAUUUCCUUGA
This is a long non-coding RNA of Rosa chinensis, 592 nucleotides long. RefSeq lists it as uncharacterized. The record is from RefSeq and is a predicted model, not a curated record. Lineage: Eukaryota; Viridiplantae; Streptophyta; Magnoliopsida; Rosales; Rosaceae. The transcript is spliced from 2 exons.